RNAcentral lists this ribosomal RNA (245 nucleotides) under uncultured bacterium. Its description in RNAcentral is "partial 16S ribosomal RNA". It matches the Rfam family "Bacterial small subunit ribosomal RNA", at positions 527 to 772 of the family's 1533-position model. The record is from RNAcentral.
GGAGGAUGCGAGCGUUAUCCGGAUUUAUUGGGUUUAAAGGGUGCGUAGGCGGCCUGUUAAGUCAGCGGUAAAAUCGCGGGGCUCAACCCCGUCGAGCCGUUGAUACUGGGAGGCUUGAGUUGGAGGGAAGUAGGCGGAAUGCGCGGUGUAGCGGUGAAAUGCAUAGAUAUCGCGCAGAACUCCGAUUGCGAAGGCAGCCUGCCGGCUCCGUACUGACGCUGAGGCACGAAAGCGUGGGGAUCGAA